UCUUCAUUGAGUUAGCUCGCAACCUCUGCCUUCUCCUUGAUGUCUCCUUUCUUUGCCUGAACCAUUUAAGCGAGAUCUCACAAUAUUGUGGAAAAUUGAUAUGGAUGGGAAGGUGAAUGGAGCAGUUGAGACAUGCUUGGGGUCUUUUCAUCGUUAUGCAAAUAUAUGAAUUUCUCACAAACCUUUAUCAAGGAGAAGUUUGACCUUCAUUCGUGGAAGAAGGAAAAGUGCACUAAACAUUGUCAUUAUUGGCAGAAUCUUAGAACGAAUGGGCUGCUCAAGAAAGCCUAUGAAUUGUCUGUGCUCUGACGUCGCACUAAUCGGCUUCUCCGCCCACGACCGCUUGUAUGAGUACUCCAAUAACAGUUAACAGUAAGUGAAGACUACUAUUAGGUGCAUAUGGAAUGAUACUUUGCAUUUUUCUCGUUUGGUGACAGGUACUUGGAUUUUUAUGAAUCAAUAUAAUGGUUGAAGAUGAUCCAUCUAAUCGAGUUUUAAAUUUACAAGACUUUGUUAGUAUUACAAUUUAAUAUUUUGAGUGUAUUUGUAGGUUGUUUUGGAUGUAAAAGAUUUAUCAUUAGUAUUGCAUUUGUAAAUUUGACUCAAAUGAGUAUUGGAUGAAUAAAAAUAUCUAUGAGUCCUUUAAA
Long non-coding RNA from Zingiber officinale, 647 nucleotides. RefSeq lists it as uncharacterized. NCBI's taxonomy places the organism in Eukaryota, Viridiplantae, Streptophyta, Magnoliopsida, Zingiberales, Zingiberaceae. The transcript is spliced from 5 exons. The record is from RefSeq and is a predicted model, not a curated record.